GGUGGUUACAUUCCAUUAUCCCCAAGGUAUCGACGAACCCGUGGUUCAAGGGGUUGGAUGUAGGUCGGGAUUUCAUUUGCGUGAUGUCCCGGCUUAUGUCCAAUCACUAUAGAUUUGACGCGCAUCUCCGUCGUGUUGGGCUCGGGGAGAGUGGUAUCUGUGCCUGUGGUGAAGGUUAUCACGACAUAGAGCACGUUGUUUGGUCAUGCCCUGUACACCGUGACGCCAGGUCUAGAUUAAUAGCUUCCCUGCAGGCCGAAGGUAGGCAGCCGGCUGUUCCUGUUCGUGAUGUGUUGGCGAGCCGUGACCUAUCCUACAUGUCCCUUAUAUACGUUUUCCUGAAAUCCUUCCACGCCCCAGUUUAGUCCUAUCCCCUUCCGCCUACAUCCAACCGAACGACAAGAACACGUUAAGACCCCGGAUCCGGAAACAGCAAUCAGACCCGCACGAUACUCUCAAGGCCCGAUGGAAACAACCCAAUAUGCCAGUCCGUAUAGAUGAGGAAAAAAAAAAAUGAAACACACUGUGAAUGAAUAGUGACUCAGUAGUCCAAGGGUAGAAGGCUAACUAGAAGAUCUGUCUAUCUACUAAAUCGAUGGUAAUCGUUUAUGCAAACUCAGAUCAAGCAUUCGUAUCAGUAGGGAGAUUACCGGCCGUGGGGUUAGUAAGGAUUUGUCGCUCGGUGAAUAGAAAUGACGAACGUCGGCAGAGCAGGUUCUAAACAAGUCGACAGGACGCGUGUGUAGCUUCUCUCGGUGUUCGUCUACUGAUAAAGCGCUGACGGCAAACAUUUGUGUGAAGGCUUAUAAAACGCGCAAUCUUUCUGGCACUGCAAACCGCUGCUCGUGUGAUGAGAUGUCAUGGAAUCAUGGCUGAAAAGCGUUACAAGGUUCACUUCUAUAAAAUUAUUAACGUAAUUUACGUCUGAUACAGCUGGCAAUAAUUUGCAAGCACACAAAUUAUUCCAACAAAAAUAAAACGAAAAAUUUGAGAAUAAGAAUGAAGUAGUAUUUUUGGUAGACCUGUUGAUCGUUAUGCAGUGAAGCCUUGAGAAUAUAAUGAAAUACAGCCAUCAGUAAACAUCUGAUGAGAUUUCGCGUAACUGCGAAGUUCAUUGCCAUCUUCCGUUUAUGCAAAUAUUGCACAUAUACACGUACGUAUCUGUAGCUUGCCGGUGCCACAGAACCGUGCUCUGUUGGUGAUUCUCAGUAAUGUGCCUCGUGGAUAGGUGAAAUGUGUAUUUUCCAUCGACUCAUCCAUAUGGCUAGAUAAUAUGGAGUGGAUAUAAGACAGUCUGAUAUAUAGAUAAGGGUUAACGUUAAUUUAGGCAAUGAUUCCAUUAUUCAAAUGGAAGAAUCAGAGAGUUAUAAAAUGCUGAGAUUUUGUUUACCACCAUAAAAUACUACUCUAGCAGCCAACAGGUCAUUGAACGAUAAGGAUUGGAAAAUAAAUCCGGAUGCUGACACAUAAGCGAAAGGAGUAGAGACGUUGUUGUUGAACAUCAAAUUUAUAUGAUAACGAGAUGAAGAGGGAGGCAGCAAUUAACUGAGCGCACGAAAAUUUGCGCUUUGUAAAUUUGAUGUUGGCUAUAAAAUAUUAUUGGCACGAGGUCAAUAGAAUGCAAGGAUCGAAGGUUACAAUAGCACAUAUUACAUAAACUCUGACAAACAUAAGUUGAUUUCUAGUCAAAUAAUAAAUUGACGAUCAUUUUGCCAAUUUCGGUGAUUUUCGUUAUUUUUCAGUGUUGUUUUUUUUUCAAGCGAUAUUUAAAUAGAUUAUCAAUAUUUGGUAUUGAAUACCAACGAGCCUCAAAUACUGUAUUUCUAGCGUCGCAAAAGGAUGCUUUGGGGGAUAAUUUGACAUUUGUUGAUUGCAAGCACCAAUCAGAACUACGACGAUUACCUGAUUUUGUUGUUGUGUUUCAUCAUUGCAUUUAAUUCGCACAUCUACAUGAGCAUAACUGACCUACCGCAAGAUUCGCGCGGCUACUGCACCAGCAGCAGUAGCAACAAACACUGAACAUAAGCACAUAUCGAUAGGUAGUGAAUAACGUUGAACGUGAGCGAAAGGUUGUUGAACCGAACU
This is a long non-coding RNA of Wyeomyia smithii (pitcher-plant mosquito), 2085 nucleotides long. RefSeq lists it as uncharacterized. The transcript is spliced from 3 exons. The record is from RefSeq and is a predicted model, not a curated record. NCBI's taxonomy places the organism in Eukaryota, Metazoa, Arthropoda, Insecta, Diptera, Culicidae.